AACGAACGCUGGCGGCGUGCCUUACACAUGCAAGUCGAACGUGAAAGUCCCUCGGGAUGAGUAAAGUGGCGCACGGGUGAGUAACGCGUAGGUGACCUACCGUCUAAUGGGGAUAACACGGAGAAAUUCGUGCUAAUACCGCAUAAUCAGAGCGAAAUUGAAAAAUGUUCUUGAAAGGAUGCCUCUACUUGUAAGCAUUCGUUAGAUGAUGGGCCUGCGGUGCAUUAGCUAGUUGGUGGGGUAAUGGCCUACCAAGGCAACGAUGCAUAUCCGAUCUGAGAGGAUGAUCGGACACACUGGAACUGAGACACGGUCCAGACUCCUACGGGAGGCAGCAGUGGGGAAUAUUGCGCAAUGGGGGAAACCCUGACGCAGCAACGCCGCGUGAGUGAGGAAGGUCUUCGGAUUGUAAAGCUCUGUCACUGUAGAAAAAUGUCUGUUGGUCUAAUAGGCCAGCAGAGUGGUGGUAUACAGAGAGGAAGCACCGGCUAACUUCGUGCCAGCCGCCGCAGUAA
This 515-nucleotide ribosomal RNA is filed under the name uncultured bacterium. RNAcentral's name for it is "partial 16S ribosomal RNA". It matches the Rfam family "Bacterial small subunit ribosomal RNA", at positions 29 to 523 of the family's 1533-position model. The record is from RNAcentral.